Molecule: ribosomal RNA, 393 nt
Filed under: uncultured archaeon
Lineage: Archaea
Description: bacterial SSU rRNA
Rfam family: Archaeal small subunit ribosomal RNA
Source: RNAcentral
AGGGGGGCGGGUUGAUUAUUGGGCCUAAAGCAUCCGUAGCCGGUUCUGUAAGUUUCCGGUUAAAUCCACUAGCUCAACUAAUGGGCUGCCGGAAAUACUGCAGAACUAGGGAGUGGGAGAGGUAGACGGCACUCGGGAGGAAGGGGUAAAAUCCUUUGAUCUAUUGAUGACCACCUGUGGCGAAGGCGGUCUACCAGAACACGUUCGACGGUGAGGGAUGAAAGCUGGGGGAGCAAACCGGAUUAGAUACCCGGGUAGUCCCAGCUGUAAACGAUGCAAACUCGGUGAUGCAUUGGCUUGUGGCCAGUGCAGUGCCGCAGGGAAGCCGUUAAGUUUGCCGCCUGGGAAGUACGUACGCAAGUAUGAAACUUAAAGGAAUUGGCGGGGGAGCAC